This 20-nucleotide microRNA is filed under the name Dinoponera quadriceps. RNAcentral's name for it is "dqu-miR-12-3p". Its record names the gene dqu-miR-12-3p. The record is from miRBase by way of RNAcentral. Lineage: Eukaryota; Metazoa; Arthropoda; Insecta; Hymenoptera; Formicidae.
CCAGUACUUGUGUUAAUACU